Molecule: transfer RNA, 74 nt
Filed under: Eumeta japonica
Lineage: Eukaryota; Metazoa; Arthropoda; Insecta; Lepidoptera; Psychidae
Rfam family: tRNA
About the family: Transfer RNA (tRNA) molecules are approximately 80 nucleotides in length. Their secondary structure includes four short double-helical elements and three loops (D, anti-codon, and T loops).
Source: Rfam by way of RNAcentral
GGCUCAUAAGCUCAGUCGGUUAUAGCGUCGUGCUAAUAACGCAAAGGUCGCGGGUUCGAUCCCCUCAUGGGCCA